UGGGUCCAGAUUAUUGCCACAUGUCGUCAUCUGGUGAGUCCUCGAUUUGACUGCUUUCAUCUCGUCUGUUAGAGGAUCCUAUAUAUAAAGGGUCGCCUUCAACUAAAUUUUUAUUUUCCAUUUUGUCUUUUCUGGUGUGAAAACUCUGCCGGACGGUCACCUCAGCAUUCCCAUCCUUUCCAGAUUUAGUUGUCUGUCCUAAAGAUGGC
Molecule: long non-coding RNA, 209 nt
Filed under: Elaeis guineensis (African oil palm)
Lineage: Eukaryota; Viridiplantae; Streptophyta; Magnoliopsida; Arecales; Arecaceae
Description: long non-coding RNA (EGUI_LNC013684)
Source: RNAcentral